CUACGGGUCGCUCCAGUGAGGAAUAUUGCACAAUGGGGGGAACCCUGAUGCAGCAACGCCGCGUGGAGGAUGACGCAUUUCGGUGUGUAAACUCCUUUUAUAUGUCAAGAAAAUGACGGUAGCAUAUGAAUAAGCACCGGCUAACUCCGUGCCAGCAGCCGCGGUAAUACGGAGGGUGCAAGCGUUACUCGGAAUCACUGGGCGUAAAGGACGCGUAGGCGGGUUGGAAAGUCAGGUGUGAAAUCCUACAGCCUAACUGUAGAACUGCACUUGAAACUUCUAAACUAGAGUAUGGGAGGGGGAGAUGGAAUUAGUGGUGUAGGGGUAAAAUCCGUAGAUAUCACUAGGAAUACCUAAAGCGAAGGCGAUCUCCUGGAACAUUACUGACGCUAAGGCGUGAAAGCGUGGGGAGCAAACAGGAUUAGAUACCCGUGUAGUC
RNAcentral lists this ribosomal RNA (439 nucleotides) under uncultured bacterium. RNAcentral's name for it is "partial 16S ribosomal RNA". It matches the Rfam family "Bacterial small subunit ribosomal RNA", at positions 339 to 795 of the family's 1533-position model. The record is from RNAcentral.